This 794-nucleotide long non-coding RNA is filed under the name Equus caballus (horse). RNAcentral's name for it is "lncRNA (ENSECAG00000055151.1)". Lineage: Eukaryota; Metazoa; Chordata; Mammalia; Perissodactyla; Equidae. The record is from RNAcentral.
UCAUGAAUGACGGAUUCUCAACCCAGCAAACUGGAAGGACCUGAACAGCUGUUGAAAACUUGAGGAUACCCAGACUGAGUUCGUCUGUGAAGAUCUUUCCCUGGAAGGUGACGUGCAGCCAGGGCCAGGGGACCCUGUAGGGCACUGCCCAGAAACAAAAGCCCUCAAGUGGCCUAGAAGAGGAUGUUUCAUUGGACCAGAGAAUGUCAGCUUGAGAUGGGGAAACAGGCCCAGAGACGCUGCUGCCUACAACAAGGAGAGCCGAGAGUUGGGGGGACCAGGAGAGACUGCUGCUCACCAGCCUCGUGGAGGGAGAAGGAUCACUCACGCUGGGGGAUGGCAGCUGCCAUGUUGUGAGGAUGCUCAAGUAGCCCUAUGGAGAGUCCCAUGGUGAGCUGAGGCCACGUGCCAACAACCAUGUGACUGCGCUAUCUUUGAAUUGGCUCCUCCGGCCUCAUUCAAGCUUGCAGAUGGGUGACUACAGCCCCCUGUCAAGCCCCGAAAUCCCUGCAAACCUCCUGAAAUCUUGACUGCAGCCUCAGGCAAGACCCCAAGAUAGAACCACGUAGCAAGCAAUGGCCAAAUUCCUGACCUACAGGAACAGUGUGAGGUAACAGAUAUUUAUUGAGGUUGCUAAAUUUGAGGUCAACAGCGAAUACAGUGCUAAAUUUAAAAAAAAAAAAAAAAAGAAAAAAUCUGAACAAACUUAGCCUAGACCAUUCCUUAGGAAGACGCCAUAUUGGAGACUACCCCGCUGUCUCCCUACGGUAACUGGGCAUUACCGUAUUCCCUCU